AUGCAGAAUUCAGUGAAUCAUCGAAUCUUUGAACGCACCUUGCGCUCCUUGGUAUUCCGAGGAGCAUGCCUGUUUGAGUGUCAUU
RNAcentral lists this ribosomal RNA (85 nucleotides) under uncultured fungus. RNAcentral describes it as "partial 5.8S ribosomal RNA". It matches the Rfam family "5.8S ribosomal RNA", at positions 72 to 154 of the family's 154-position model. From Rfam's summary of the family: 5.8S ribosomal RNA (5.8S rRNA) is a component of the large subunit of the eukaryotic ribosome. It is transcribed by RNA polymerase I as part of the 45S precursor that also contains 18S and 28S rRNA. The record is from RNAcentral. Lineage: Eukaryota; Fungi.